Myotis myotis is the source of this 941-nucleotide long non-coding RNA. RefSeq lists it as uncharacterized. NCBI's taxonomy places the organism in Eukaryota, Metazoa, Chordata, Mammalia, Chiroptera, Vespertilionidae. The record is from RefSeq and is a predicted model, not a curated record. The transcript is spliced from 2 exons.
CGGCGGCGCGGACGCGGGGGGAGGCCGGGCGGCCGCCAGCAGGUGCAGGGGCCGGCGCGCAGCCCGGGUCGCGGAAGCCGACCGCAGAGUCCGCUGGCCUGGGAGGGAGGGAAGGAGCUGCCGCCUGGAGCUUCUCGGGGUGCGGGCGGGAAGGGGCUGCGCAGCCUCUGCUCCAUCACCGCAGAUCCCGGCCCCGGCCCCGACCCCGCCACCGCCACAGAGGCCUGCGGAGGCAGCCGACGAGUGAGAAGGCGCGUCGGGGAAUCUUCGGCCGCGGAAGUCGGGCCCUCGCCGCCCUCCGUGCAUCCAGCGACCUGCUCUGCUAGGCGCUGAAGCACAGUGGCCUGCGACGCUGUAGUCGCUGACCUCGAAUUGAUCGACUCCGGGACUGUUUAGCGCUGGGAAGGGUGUGACUGCCUGGUGCAGACCUACAGUUUACGGAUUGGGCAGUUGAGGCUGAGCUGGAGCCUGGCGAAGGGACCUCCCCACGGGCGCUCAGCUGGGCAGUGGAGAGCUGGAGCUGCGCCUGGGGCUGGGUCUCUGGCCCCUGGUCCUGAAGCCUGUGUUCGGGCUGCCUCUCUGCAUACCUGUACUCAGCUCCGUAGACUGUCAACUCCAGGGCGGCUGCAUAUUUCUCUCCGGCAGACCGAGUGCCGUACACACUGUAAAUGCGGAGUAAAGGUGCUCAGGAAGUAGUUAUGGAAUGAGUGAGUGGUGCUACUAUAAGUCACGAUUCAGAUUCUGUGUGCUAACUGACUAUAGAAGAUAAGCAUCUUGCCAAAGAUAAAACAAAGCUAAAAUAUACUGGAAGUUAUGAAGAAUGUGUAAAAGUGAAAAGGCUGUUUUAUAUUUCCUCAAUCUUUCAUAUUGUAACUGUUUGAUAAAUUAUUAGAUGAAUUGAUUCUAACUUGCCCUUUCAUCAAUGAACAAUCCAAAUACAA